ACUCAAAUGAAUUGACGGGGGCCCGCACAAGCGGUGGAGCAUGUGGUUCAAUUCGAAGCAACGCGCAGAACCUUACCUGGGCUUGACAUGUUGGAGAACCCUCCGGAAACGGAGGGGUGCCCUUCGGGGAGCUCCUUCACAGGUGCUGCAUGGCUGUCGUCAGCUCGUGUCGUGAGGUGUUGGGUUAAGUCCCGCAACGAGCGCAACCCCUGUCACUAGUUGCCAACGGAUCAAGCCGGGCACUCUAGUGAGACUGCCGGUGUUAAGCCGGAGGAAGGUGGGGACGACGUCAAGUCCUCAUGGCCCUUAUGCCCAGGGCUACACACGUGCUACAAUGGUCGGUACAGAGGGCUGCCAACCCGCGAGGGGGAGCAAAUCCCAAAAAGCCGACCUCAGUUCGGAUUGGAGUCUGCAAUUCGACUCCAUGAAGGCGGAAUCGCUAGUAAUCGCGGAUCAGCACGCCGCGGUGAAUACGUUCCCGGGCCUUGUACACACCGCCCGU
RNAcentral lists this ribosomal RNA (502 nucleotides) under uncultured bacterium. Its description in RNAcentral is "bacterial SSU rRNA". It matches the Rfam family "Bacterial small subunit ribosomal RNA", at positions 899 to 1397 of the family's 1533-position model. The record is from RNAcentral.